Molecule: ribosomal RNA, 253 nt
Filed under: uncultured bacterium
Lineage: Bacteria
Description: partial 16S ribosomal RNA
Rfam family: Bacterial small subunit ribosomal RNA
Source: RNAcentral
UACGGAGGGUGCGAGCGUUAAUCGGAAUUACUGGGCGUAAAGCGCACGCAGGCGGUUUGUUAAGCUAGAUGUGAAAGCCCCGGGCCCAACCUGGGAUGGUCAUUUAGAACUGGCAGACUAGAGUCUUGGAGAGGGGAGUGGAAUUCCAGGUGUAGCGGUGAAAUGCGUAGAUAUCUGGAGGAACAUCAGUGGCGAAGGCGACUCCCUGGCCAAAGACUGACGCUCAUGUGCGAAAGUGUGGGUAGCGAACAGG